UUGCGGUUAAAAAGCUCGUAGUUGAAUCUGUGUCCCACGCUGCCGGUUCGCCGCUCGCGGUGUUUAACUGGCAUGAUUGUGGGACGUCCUACCGGUGGGCUUAGCCUUUCGGGGCGGCCCAACUAAUAUCCCAUCGCGGUGCUCUUCACUGAGUGUCGAGGUGGGCCGGUACGUUUACUUUGAACAAAUUAGAGUGCUUAAAGCAGGCUACUUUCGCUUGAAUACUGUGUGCAUGGAAUGAUGGAAUAGGACCUCGGUUCUAUUUUGUUGGUUUUCGGAACCCCGAGGUAAUGAUUAACAGGAACAGAUGGGGGCAUUCGUAUUGCGACGUUAGAGGUGAAAUUCUUGGAUCGUCGCAAGACGGACAGAAGCGAAAGCAUUUGCCAAAAAUGUUUUCCUUAAUCAAGAACGAAAGUUAGAGGUUCGAAGGCGAUCAGAUACCGCCCUAGUUCUAACCAUAAACGAUGCCAGCUAGCGAUCCGCCGAAGUUCCUCCGAUGACUCGGCGGGCAGCUUCCGGGAAACCAAAGCUUUUGGGUUCCGGGGGAAGUAUGGUUGCAAAGCUGAAACUUAAAGGAAUUGACGGAAGGGCACCACCAGGAGUGGAGCCUGCGGCUUAAUUUGACUCAACACGGGAAACCUCACCAGGCCCGGACACCGGAAGGAUUGACAGAUUGAGAGCUCUUUCUUGAUUCGGUGGGUGGUGGUGCAUGGCCGUUCUUAGUUGGUGGAGCGAU
This 736-nucleotide ribosomal RNA is filed under the name Macrophya apicalis. RNAcentral's name for it is "SSU rRNA". It matches the Rfam family "Eukaryotic small subunit ribosomal RNA", at positions 613 to 1310 of the family's 1831-position model. Lineage: Eukaryota; Metazoa; Arthropoda; Insecta; Hymenoptera; Tenthredinidae. The record is from RNAcentral.